This 211-nucleotide ribosomal RNA is filed under the name uncultured bacterium. RNAcentral's name for it is "partial 16S ribosomal RNA". It matches the Rfam family "Bacterial small subunit ribosomal RNA", at positions 524 to 733 of the family's 1533-position model. The record is from RNAcentral.
UACGUAGGGUGCAAGCGUUGUCCGGAAUUAUUGGGCGUAAAGAGCUCGUAGGCGGUUUGUCGCGUCUGCUGUGAAAAAUCCAGGGCUUAACCCUGGACCUGCAGUGGGUACGGGCAGACUAGAGUGCGGUAGGGGAGAUCGGAAUUCCUGGUGUAGCGGUGAAAUGCGCAGAUAUCAGGAGGAACACCGGUGGCGAAGGCGGUUCUCUGGG